GUAUCCAAUAGCUAUUUGUUCACAUGGAAAUUAAGUAAUAAAACCAUUUCUAGUCUCAGCCAUUUAUUUUAUUGUCCUUUUUAAAUAGUUAUCUUUUUGUUCAGAAACACAUUUCAUAAUCAGAUUUUAUACAGUUUAGUUAAUGACAUUUCAUACAUUUUAGUUCAUGAAGUGUUAGAAACAUGUCACUGAGUGUUAAAAAACGUUAGUAAUUUUGUCACAAUAACAAACUCACAUAGAUCUGCUGGAAUAAACAAGUUAUGACAUAGCGACCAGGUAAACCUCUCAGGGAUGACAUAGUGACCAGGUAUGACAUAAUGACCAUGUAUGCCUAUCAGGGAUGACAUAAUGACCAGGUAUGACAUAAUGACCAGGUAUGACAUAAUGACCAGGUAUGACAUAAUGACCAGCUAUGACAUAAUGACCAGGUAUGACAUAAUGACCAUGUAUGACAUAAUGACCAGGUAUGCCUAUCAGGGAUGACAUAAUGACCAGGUAUGCCUAUCAGGGAUGACAUAGUGACCAGGUAUGACAUAAUGACCAGGUAUGCCUAUCAGGGAUGACAUAGUGACCAGGUAUGCCUAUCAGGGAUGACAUAGUGACCAGGUAUGACAUAAUGACCAGAUAUGCCUAUCAGGGAUGACAUAGUGACCAGGUAUGACAUAAUGACCAGGUAUGCCUAUCAGGGAUGACAUAGUGACCAGGUAUGACAUAAUGACCAGGUAUGCCUAUCAGGGAUGACAUAGUGACCAGGUAUGACAAUGACCAGGUAUGCCUAUCAGGGAUGACAUAGAGACCAGAUAUGCCUAUCAGGUAUGACAUAAUGACCAGAUAUGCCUAUCAGGGAUGACAUAGUGACCAGGUAUGACAUAAUGACCAGGUAUGCCUAUCAGGGAUGACAUAGUGACCAGGUAUGACAUAAUGACCAGAUAUGCCUAUCAGGGAUGACAUAGUGACCAGGUAUGACAUAAUGACCAGAUAUGCCUAUCAGGGAUGACAUAGUGACCAGGUAUGACAUAAUGACCAGAUAUGCCUAUCAGGGAUGACAUAGUGACCAGGUAUGCCUAUCAGGAAUAACAUAGUGACCAAGUAUGCCUACCAGGGAUGACAUAGUGACCAGAUAUGCCUAUCAGGGAUAACAUAGUGACCAUGUAUGACAUAAUGACCAGAUAUGCCUAUCAGGUAUGACAUAAUGACCAGAUAUGCCUAUCAGGUAUGACAUAAUGACCAGGUAUGCCUAUCAGGGAUGACAUAGUGACCAGGUAUGACAUAAUGACCAGGAAUGUCUAUCAGGGAUGACAUAAUGACCAGGUACGCCUAUCAGGGUUGACAUAGUGACCAGGUAUGACAUAAUGACCAGGAAUGUCUAUCAGGGAUGACAUAAUGACCAGGUAUGACAUAAUGACCAGGUAAGCCAAUUAGGGAUGACAUAGUCACCAGGUAAGCCUAUCAGGAUGACAUUGUCACCAGGUAAGCCUAUCAGAUUACAUAGUCACCAGGUAAGCCUAUUAGGGAUGACAUUGUCACCAGGUAAGCCUAUCAGGAUGACAUUGUCACCAGGUAAGCCUAUCAGGAUGACAUUGUCACCAGGUAAGCCUAUCAGGAUGACAUUGUCACCAGGUAAGCCUAUUAGGGAUGACAUUGUCACCAGGUAAGCCUAUCAGAGCCCUUUUCUGCACUCACCAGUCACCUGUCUGUCCCCCUAAUAUGUUUCU
Oncorhynchus keta (chum salmon) is the source of this 1715-nucleotide long non-coding RNA. RefSeq lists it as uncharacterized. Lineage: Eukaryota; Metazoa; Chordata; Actinopteri; Salmoniformes; Salmonidae. The record is from RefSeq and is a predicted model, not a curated record. The transcript is spliced from 16 exons.